AUUGAACGCUGGCGGCAUGCUUUACACAUGCAAGUCGAACGGCAGCGCGGGCUUCGGCCUGGCGGCGAGUGGCGAACGGGUGAGUAAUGCAUCGGAACGUGCCCAGUAGUGGGGGAUAGCCCGGCGAAAGCCGGAUUAAUACCGCAUACGACCUGAGGGUGAAAGCGGGGGACCGAAAGGCCUCGCGCUAUUGGAGCGGCCGAUGUCGGAUUAGCUAGUUGGUGGGGUAAAGCCUUACCAAGGCGACGAUCCGUAGCUGGUCUGAGAGGACGACCAGCCACACUGGGACUGAGACACGGCCCAGACUCCUACGGGAGGCAGCAGUGGGGAAUUUUGGACAAUGGGGGCAACCCUGAUCCAGCCAUGCCGCGUGCGGGAAGAAGGCCUUCGGGUUGUAAACCGCUUUUGUUCGGGAAGAAAUCCUCUGGGCUAAUACCCCGGGGGGAUGACGGUACCGGAAGAAUAAGCACCGGCUAACUACGUG
Molecule: ribosomal RNA, 484 nt
Filed under: uncultured bacterium
Lineage: Bacteria
Description: partial 16S ribosomal RNA
Rfam family: Bacterial small subunit ribosomal RNA
Source: RNAcentral